UACGGGGGGGGUAAGCGUUGUUCGGAAUUACUGGGCGUAAAGGGCUCGUAGGCGGCCAACUAAGUCAUACGUGAAAUCCCUCAGCUUAACUGGGGAACUGCGUGUGAUACUGGAUGGCUUGGAUUUGGGAGAGGGAUGCGGAAUUCCAGGUGUAGCGGUGAAAUGCGUAGAUAUCUGGAGGAACACCGGUGGCGAAGGCGGCUUCCUGGCCUGUUCUUGACGCUGAGGCGCGAAAGCUAGGGGAGCAAACGGG
RNAcentral lists this ribosomal RNA (253 nucleotides) under uncultured bacterium. RNAcentral's name for it is "partial 16S ribosomal RNA". It matches the Rfam family "Bacterial small subunit ribosomal RNA", at positions 524 to 776 of the family's 1533-position model. The record is from RNAcentral.